UUGUUCGUUUGAUUGUAUACCCACUGGAUAACCGUGGAAAAGCUAGAGCUAAUACAUGCGAAAAAUCCCUGCUGCGGUCAAACGUGGCUAGGAUGCAUUUGUUAGAGUAAACCAACUACNGNAUCCUCACGGAUCCAUUGGUGAGUCUAGAUAACUGCGCUGAUCGUAUGGCCUUGUGCCGGCGACGUUUCAAUCAAAUUUCUGCCCUAUCAACUUGUUGGUAAGGUCGUGGCUUACCAAGGUGAUAACGGNUNACNNGGAUCAGGUUNGAUUCCGGAGAGGGAGCCUGAGAAACGGCUACCACAUCCAAGGAAGGCAGCAGGCGCGCAAAUUACCCAAUCCAGACNCUGGGAGGUGGUGACGAGAAAUACCAGGUCGCUCCCAAAAGGAUGUGACACUGGAAUGAACACAAUAUAAGACAUUUGUCGAGUAACAACUGGAGGGCAAGUCUGGUGCCAGCAGCCGCGGUAAUUCCAGCUCCAGUAGUGUAUCCUAAAGUUGCUGCGGUUAAAACGCUCGUAGUUGGAUUACGGGGUGGUUCUCUUCGGUGUGCUUGUCAUUAAAACUGUGUGCAGCUGGCUUUGGUUGGUUGUGCAUGGCGAUGAGUACACUCUAUUGGGGGACCACCACUUGUAUCGUGAGGAUGGUGGUUGGCCUUUAUUGUGCUGCCCACUGUGUCUUGCGGAGUGUGCCUUGAAUAAAUCAGAGUGCUCAAAGCAGGCGUAUUGCUUGAAUGUUAAUAGCAUGGAACGAACAAUCGUGAUAUGUGCUGCGUAUGAUUGUUGUCCAUUUCGGUGGGGCAAUGUUGUGCGUGGUGCUGCACCAACCACGAUGCGGACGUUGGUUUCCGUGAUCGGGUGAUGAUUAAGAGGGAUCAUUGGGGGUAUUGGUAUUUGGCCGCGAGAGGUGAAAUUCUUGGACCGGCCAAGGACCGACAAAUGCGAAAGCAUUUACCAAGAUGACUCCCAUUAAUCAAGAACGAAAGUGAGAGGUUCGAAGACGAUCAGAUACCGUCCUAGUUCUCACCGUAAACUAUGCCAACCCGGGAUCAGUUGUGAUCGAUUUUACGUAAGAUCCAUGUUGGUCCCCCUGGGAAACCUCAAGUCUUUAGGUUCCGGGGGGAGUAUGGUUGCAAGGCUGAAACUUAAAGGAAUUGACGGAGACCACCGGAGUGGAGCCUGCGGCUUAAUUUGACUCAAGACGAAAACUCACCUGGUCCGGACAUCGAUAGGAUUGACAGACUGAUAGAUCUUUCAUGAUACGG
This 1264-nucleotide ribosomal RNA is filed under the name Chloromyxum thymalli. RNAcentral's name for it is "SSU rRNA". It matches the Rfam family "Eukaryotic small subunit ribosomal RNA", at positions 113 to 1270 of the family's 1831-position model. The record is from RNAcentral. Lineage: Eukaryota; Metazoa; Cnidaria; Myxozoa; Bivalvulida; Chloromyxidae.